UACGAAGGGGGCUAGCGUUGUUCGGAAUUACUGGGCGUAAAGGGCGCGUAGGCGGUACUUCAAGUCAGGCGUGAAAGCCCCGGGCUCAACCUGGGAACCGCGCUUGAGACUGGAGAACUAGAGUUCGGGAGAGGAUGGUGGAAUUCCCAGUGUAGAGGUGAAAUUCGUAGAUAUUGGGAAGAACACCGAUGGCGAAGGCAGCCAUCUGGUCCGACACUGACGCUGAGGCGCGAAAGCGUGGGGAGCAAACAGG
This 253-nucleotide ribosomal RNA is filed under the name uncultured bacterium. Its description in RNAcentral is "partial 16S ribosomal RNA". It matches the Rfam family "Bacterial small subunit ribosomal RNA", at positions 524 to 776 of the family's 1533-position model. The record is from RNAcentral.